Halichondria panicea is the source of this 541-nucleotide long non-coding RNA. RefSeq lists it as uncharacterized. NCBI's taxonomy places the organism in Eukaryota, Metazoa, Porifera, Demospongiae, Suberitida, Halichondriidae. The record is from RefSeq and is a predicted model, not a curated record. The transcript is spliced from 3 exons.
CUUAGUAAAAUAUGUUCUGGAUAAGACAAGUUAGUUAGAUGAAGGCUAGGCGUUCUAGGACUCUCUAGCUAGCUAGUAUAGCUAUGUAGCUGGAUUGCUUGGCACCUAGGAAGGAUCUUCAAAGAAAUAAAGAGACAAAGACUCCCGUCGCUCAAAUGGUGGUGGUAAGUGUCGGAGGCCUGAGAAACGCUUGUCUAUUGGCUAGAAUGUUGUUAUGGAAUGUUUAUGAGGACAAGUGGCACGGGAUACGUACAUCUAAAGAAACAAGAGUGGAUCUACGCCAAGCUAGCUAGCUAGAUAGCUGCUCUUUCUAAUCUAUUUCUGUUGCUAAAUUAUGUUUGUUAAGAAGUGGAGCUAUAAUAUACCUGGCUCCUCUUGAUGAUUGUAAGUACUGGGCUGAUGAAAUAGUCCUGUACAAGUUGUCAUCUUUUAUUUGUUAAAAAUAAUUAACAAUAAUAGGGAAAUUCCCAGGGAAUUUCCCCUCACGUAGACAGUAAAUUUCAUUGUAAAAAAUGAACGUUCGGUGAGUUUCUUCAACGUC